This 478-nucleotide ribosomal RNA is filed under the name uncultured bacterium. RNAcentral describes it as "partial 16S ribosomal RNA". It matches the Rfam family "Bacterial small subunit ribosomal RNA", at positions 28 to 523 of the family's 1533-position model. The record is from RNAcentral.
GACGAACGCUGGCGGCGUGCUUAACACAUGCAAGUCGAACGGUAAGGCCCUUCGGGGUACACGAGUGGCGAACGGGUGAGUAACACGUGGGUGAUCUGGCCUGCACUUCGGGAUAAGCCUGGGAAACUGGGUCUAAUACCGGAUAGGACUCCGGACUGCAUGGUCUGGGGUGGAAAGCUUUUGCGGUGUGGGAUGGGCCCGCGGCCUAUCAGCUUGUUGGUGGGGUGACGGCCUACCAAGGCGACGACGGGUAGCCGGCCUGAGAGGGUGACCGGCCACACUGGGACUGAGAUACGGCCCAGACUCCUACGGGAGGCAGCAGUGGGGAAUAUUGCACAAUGGGCGCAAGCCUGAUGCAGCGACGCCGCGUGAGGGAUGACGGCCUUCGGGUUGUAAACCUCUUUCAGCAUCGACGAAGCGAAAGUGACGGUAGGUGCAGAAUAAGGACCGGCUAACUACGUGCCAGCCGCCGCCGUAA